RNAcentral lists this ribosomal RNA (425 nucleotides) under uncultured bacterium. RNAcentral's name for it is "partial 16S ribosomal RNA". It matches the Rfam family "Bacterial small subunit ribosomal RNA", at positions 354 to 796 of the family's 1533-position model. The record is from RNAcentral.
GUGGGGAAUAUUGCACAAUGGGUGAAACCCUGAUGCAGCGACGCCGCGUGAGUGAAGAAGUAUUUCGGUACGUAAAGCUCUAUCAGCAAGGAAGAAAAUGACGGUACUUGACUAAGAAGCCCCGGCUAACUACGUGCCAGCAGCCGCGGUAAUACGUAGGGGGCAAGCGUUAUCCGGAUUUACUGGGUGUAAAGGGAGCGUAGACGGUAUGGUAAGUCAGAUGUGAAAGCCCGGGGCUCAACCCCGGUACUGCAUUUGAAACUAUCAGACUAGAGUGCAGGAGAGGUAAGUCAAAUGCCUAGUGUAGCGGUGAAAUGCGUAGAUAUUAGGAGGAACACCAGUGGCGAAGGCGGCUUACUGGACUGUAACUGACGUUGAGGCUCGAAAGCGUGUAGAGCAAACAGGAUUAGAUACCCGUGUAGUCC